CUUGCUCUGGUGGAUUAGUGGCGAACGGGUGAGUAACACGUGAGUAACCUGCCCUUGACUCUGGGAUAAGCGUUGGAAACGACGUCUAAUACCGGAUACGAGCUGGGACCGCAUGGUCACUAGCUGGAAAGAACUUCGGUCAAGGAUGGACUCGCGGCCUAUCAGCUUGUUGGUGAGGUAACGGCUCACCAAGGCGACGACGGGUAGCCGGCCUGAGAGGGUGACCGGCCACACUGGGACUGAGACACGGCCCAGACUCCUACGGGAGGCAGCAGUGGGGAAUAUUGCACAAUGGGCGAAAGCCUGAUGCAGCAACGCCGCGUGAGGGACGACGGCCUUCGGGUUGUAAACCUCUUUUAGCAGGGAAGAAGCGAAAGUGACGGUACCUGCAGAAAAAGCACCGGCUAACUACGUGCCAGCAGCCGCGGUAAUACGUAGGGUGCAAGCGUUGUCCGGAAUUAUUGGGCGUAAAGAGCUCGUAGGCGGUUUGUCGCGUCUGCUGUGAAAACGCGAGGCUCAACCUCGCGCCUGCAGUGGGUACGGGCAAACUAGAGUGCGGUAGGGGAGAUUGGAAUUCCUGGUGUAGCGGUGGAAUGCGCAGAUAUCAGGAGGAACACCGAUGGCGAAGGCAGAUCUCUGGGCCGUAACUGACGCUGAGGAGCGAAAGCAUGGGGAGCGAACAGGAUUAGAUACCCUGGUAGUCCAUGCCGUAAACGUUGGGAACUAGAUGUAGGGACCAUUCCACGGUUUCUGUGUCGCAGCUAACGCAUUAAGUUCCCCGCCUGGGGAGUACGGUCGCAAGACUAAAACUCAAAGGAAUUGACGGGGGCCCGCACAAGCGGCGGAGCAUGCGGAUUAAUUCGAUGCAACGCGAA
Molecule: ribosomal RNA, 875 nt
Filed under: Microcella sp.
Lineage: Bacteria; Bacillati; Actinomycetota; Actinomycetes; Micrococcales; Microbacteriaceae
Description: bacterial SSU rRNA
Rfam family: Bacterial small subunit ribosomal RNA
Source: RNAcentral